This 1244-nucleotide long non-coding RNA is filed under the name Equus caballus (horse). Its description in RNAcentral is "lncRNA (ENSECAG00000040572.3)". Lineage: Eukaryota; Metazoa; Chordata; Mammalia; Perissodactyla; Equidae. The record is from RNAcentral.
GGGAACGGGACCAAAGGUUGAUCAACACACUUCCAAGGGACAGUCUUUUCCCAAGGGAGUCAGGCUGAAGCCUGCACACGUAUAGUUCUGAUGAUAGUCCAGAAGUCAGACCAAAAGCUAAGCAAUUUCAGUUGAAACAGUCUGGUUCCAAAAGGAAUUGGACCAAAGGCUAGCAUAGUUCAAAGGAAUAGCCUGAUUCAAAGGGUUAGGCUGAAGUGCCACCCAAGUGCUUACAGACAAACAAGCCCUUAACCAGAAAAGGACGAAGACUUGAAAUAGAUCUUGACUACAGCCUGGAGAGCCUCCAAUAGGGUGGAAGCUUGGAUCCAGAAAAGACUUACCUUCAAACUCCAGGGCUGACAAGAAAAGCAGCGAGCUCAAUGAGCUCUCUUGUAGCACAGGGAUCUGGAAGGCUUAUGCAACAAUGGACAUUUCUGCUGUGGAGUCUUCAAAUUACUUAUCUUCAUCAUCCAGAUUCAUCUUUUGUUUGCUCUCUGUGCAUACCAAUUUUCAUUCUGGUUCAUUGUGAUGUGCUUAAAACUCUUCAAGGGCAUUUCUCUUGCUCUUGGGAUAAAGAGAAAGCAGCUGCAAUGGAAAGAACACGGAUGACAAAGGCAAUGUGGACACAGAGCACUCUUACAGACAGCAAGCUCUUCACGCCAAAGAGCACUCCUGGGAUUUCCAAGUAAAACUGAUGGAAACUUUCACAGUGUAUUGGGAGAAGGAAAACAUUCCAAGGAACCAAUGGAUAAAGAGCAAAUCCUUAUGUUUUAGGGAAUUGCAUUAGUUAGGACCUUCCUCUUGUCAUGUUUAUUUUAGAUUCUUGUCCCUAUUGUUACCUCUCUCUAUAGAUUCUCAUUCUAAUGAGUUUGAUAUAUAUGUCAUUUAAUAUGAGUAUAUCCCUGUCAAAAUAUGUAGUGUUCCGUAUAUAUUAGUGUAUGCAGGUGAUUUUAUUUACAUAAAUAUUAUUGAACUAUAGGUUUUAUUCUAUUUAUGUUUUUAUGCAACAUGCCAGAUCUAUCCAUGUUGCUACUUUUACUGCUAUCUGGCAUCUGCAUAUUAUGAAUACAUAGUAUGUAAAUAUAUCUACCAAAUUCCCCUGUAAUAACCACUUAGGCUGUCCCUAAUUUCUAACUUUUCUGCUGGAGUUCUGUUUCUCAAAGUGUUUUAAAGAGAGUGUUUUCAGAGGCAUUUGUAACUGAGAAUAUCUUCAGUUGACCAACCUAUUAACUAUAAUAAACCAG